UUCAGAGUGGUAAUUUCAUUUCUUGAGGUAGAGCUUUCCUCUAGAAGUUUCUCAGAUUCAUAUCUCAGAAGUUCAACUUUGGCUGUGUCUCACUGGACACAAUUUGCAGGGCAUGUAUCAUUGUCUUCAACUCUCCUUUCCCCUCUUGAAAAGGCAUAUCUUUUGGCUCAGCUAGGAUAUUAACUUUUUCAGCUUUUUAGUAAGCUCUUGUGACUUUUUUUCCAGUUCUAACUCUGCUGUUACUGCCUGCUGCUGAAAUGACUCUCUUUAAGACCUAGAAAAGCAAUGUUUUCCUCUAGUAUAACUUGAUGUUGUACUCUUAGCUUUUCUUUUCUUUUUUUUUCUUUGAGACAGGGUCUUGCUGUGUUGCCCAAGUUGGAGUGCAGUGGCACAAUCGCAGUUCACCAAAGCCUCAACCUCUCAGGCUCAAAUGAUCCUCCAACCUCAGCCUCCCAAGUAGCUGGGACUACAGGCAAUGCCACAUGCCCAGCUUACUUUUUUAUUUUUUGUAGAGCUGGGAUAUCUCUAUGUUGCCCAGACUAGUCUCAAAAUCCCGGCCUCAAAUGAUCCUCCCACCUUGGCCUCCCAAAGUACUGGGGUUACAGGCAUGAGCCAUUGCACCCAACCAGCUUUUCUUCAUGUGUCUGAAUUGUUUCAUAUAACCAGGAAAUUUCACAAGCUUUUACUUUUUCUAAGAGCCAUAUAUUCCCCUGCUAAAUGGUCGUGUGCACCUGUAAUCUCAGCUACUCAGGAGACUGAGGCAGGAGAAUCGUUUGAACCUGGGAGGCAGAGGUUGCGGUGAGCCGAGAUCAUGCCCCUGCACUCCAGUCUGGGCAACAGAACAAGACUCCAUCUCAGAAAAAACAACAACAACUUUGUUACUUGUUAAAUUUUUGUGGACGUAGAAACUCAGAAUAACACUGACCCAACACUUUGAGAUGACAGCAAAAAACUACUCAACAGACAAAAUUGAACUCCAUAAUGGAGUCCAAGCAGACUUAGCCUGAGAGCCGGUCCCUUCCAACCUCCCUUUUGUGCAAAGGUGUUUAAAAGAGUUUUGACAAUGACUCCUACUUGCCAUUCACUUUCUCCAUCGUGGGAUGAGACCAGCAACCUGGGACAAGUCUAUCCCAGCACCAAGGGACACCAAAACCCAACUACAGGGUGAUUGACUAGUGAUACUUUUGGAGAAAUAUCUUGAUCAAAAGGGGGAAUGUUUUGCUUGUGGGAACUAACAAUAAAGUAUAAUAAAGAUACAAAAAAGGAAAAAAACAAAAGAGGGAAUGUGAAAGCAGAAUCAAAAUGGAGUCACUUGUGUUAAAAAGUAAAAAAAUAAAGCCUAAAAAUAGAGUGAGGGUAGGCUGUGAAGAGAGGGUUCUCACUUAUAUGUCUGAUAACAAAAGCUGUCACAAAAGACUACAAAAAACACAGCCUUGCACAAAGGCCAUUUUAGCCUUACACGCUAAAUGUUCUGUGCAGACAUCCACCCAGCAACUGCCUGUCCAACCUCACCCUUGUUAUUGGCCUCACCCUUGUUAUUGAUCUUUGUAGCCAAGGAUAAUAAUUUCAAAAUCAUUAUGUAAUCCUCCUUAUCUCUCCUUUAAAACCUUUUGUCUUCAUUUUUACCUCCCUGGGUACACACACACAGUUUACUGUGGCAUGCAUAUUCCCAUUGCAAUGCCCUAUUCCCAAAUAAAUGUAUGUUUUUUCUUUUUGAGAGCCUCCCUCUGUUCUUUAGAAUGACAAACUCAACAAAAAAAAUCAAACAUGUUCCUCUGUGCUGUGUUAUAUUCAUAACUUUGGGCUUUCAUUCAUCAUAUGUCUUGGUCUAUCAUCUUUUUUUUAGGUGCCAGGAUCUAUUUUUGUCAUCACCAGCCAGGAAGGAUACAAGGCCUCUUCCAAGAUGAAGACGAAACUAUUGACAGAUAUUUUGUCAAGACCAAAUUUUCCCUAAGAGCCCUGUCAUAGAUUGUUCCCUGGGCAGGAUGCAGCCUCCUUCAGAGAGUGAAGAACACACCAAAAGAUCCUCUACUAAAUUCAUCAUAAGCCACAUGAGGCAGGCUGGAAUACAGUUACCAAUCUGCUUUAAUUCUCCCACUUAGAUGGCCUGAAGCCGCCUGAACUGAAAGUUGGAUGAAGCUCAGCUUUGAGUUUCAUCGCGGGGCAUCGUGUGGCCUAAGUCCUUAGCCAAUGCCUGCCAAAUAUUAGCUUGAGUCGCAAUAAAGAGAAAAGGUCCAAAUUCUCCCCUUGACUAAUGAUUUAUUCAUCAAAUCAACAUGUCUCAAACCUUUAAUUCUAGUUUUGUUUUCUGAAAAGAUGUCAUUCUAUUUGAAAGAGAAACAGCUGUAGGGAAGGAGAAUAAGAACUUUCAUGGAACACACAGUAUGUGUCACGCACUCAGCAUGUAAAGUCACUUGGCCCUUACUACAGCCCUGGGGAGGUGAGCAGUGGCUCUGCUUCACAUACAAGCACCCUGACACUCCAGGAAAUCGGUCGUCACCCAGCACCCUCUAACUAGGGAAGGAUGAAAUCCGAUUUGAACUCAGGUAUGCUUUUUUUCUCCAGGAAGCAUACUUUUCUUUGCCAUUCUCAGUGAUGAGAGUAACAGGGACAGAAAGAUAAGAGAAAAGGAAUUGACUGCUCACUUACAAGGCUGUUGCUGGACUUUUUAGGACAGUCACUGGAAGAUUCUCGUGUGUCUUCUGAAUUGCUGACCAUAAUUCAUUCUCUUCCCUCUUUUGUCUGGUUUGUUAUUUGAUCCCAAGACUGUGCUAUAAGUUUUGAGUUGAUAAAAGAGAGCCAAGAGUCCAUGAAGUGCUCACACCUCCCAUCGAAUACCUGAUUCCUACAACGCCUGCUUCAAACAUAAUGGAGAAAAUAUUUGCAAGAAACUUGCAUGCAAUGAUUCAACUGCAUUCCAAAUAUAAUUUUCCUCUUGUGCCAGAGGAGAUUAAUUCACAUGGACUCAAAAGAGCCUUGGGGACAGGUUUUUGGAAAACCAGACCCUGGCAUUCUGGAUGCUAAAAUGCUGUCAGUAAUACUAAGAGUGCUUAGGUCUCCUGCCUCCUCAGUCCUCUGGAAAGAGCCCCAGGGUUAUUCGAGUUGGGAUCAAAUAAAGGGGGUCAUUAUGAUAAAAAGUGGGUGACACCCCCAUUCCUCACCUAGAGAACAUACUUAGCCUUCCCAUACACCUUCUUCAGUAAAAAUCUCCCUACAACUUAGAUUUCAAUGUGAAGAUUUUGGUUCCACCUUGACUGAAUACUGGAAUAGUUUUUGUUGCAGACUGGGAGCCAACAGUUUACCUUCAGAGUGAGAAUAUGUACGGGUUCCUUAAAAACAUGCAGUAUGGCCAGGCACCAUGGCUCAUGCCUGUAAUCCCAGGACUUUGAGAGGCCAAGGUGGGCGGAUCACUUGAGGUCAGAAGCUUGAGACCAGACUGGCCAACAUGGUGAAACCUGGUUUCUAUUAAAAAUACAAAAAUUAGCCUGGCGCAGUGGCGGGUGCCUGUAAUCCCAGCUACUCGGGGGGCUGAGGCAGGAGAAUAACUUGAACCUGGGAGGCAGAGGUUGCAGUGAGCUGAGAUCGAGCCACUGCAUUCCAGCCUGGGCAACAGAGCAAGACUCCGUCUCAAAAAAAAAAAAAUAACAACAUACAAAAAUGCCUUUGGGAUUCAGCGUAAUCUGCAGGUUAUAAAAGCAACUGCAAUGAUGAUGGGAGCUUUUUUCACCACAGCCUAGGAUGCCUUUGAGAAAACAUGAUAAUUUGAAAACAUGAUAAAGACUUCCCCCUGGAUUCAGCCCCUCUACUCUGUCAACAUUGCUCUCACCAGGGUACCCAGUGACCUCCAAGUUGCCCACUGUGGGAGCACUCCUGAGUCCUCAUCUUACUGGAACGCUCCUCACGACCAUCAGGGAAUCUUCUGCUGCCCCUGAAAGGAAGCCCAACUCGAAUUGCUGCAAACAGAACUGACUCAAGUCUUCCCUACUUUGGUGAAUGUUUGAAGCCUAGAGAAACAUAUUCCAUCAAGAAAGAAGAAUAAUUAAUAGAACAUGUUUGUAUACUCUAUAAAUUUUAUACAAAUUACAACAUUUCAGUUACCAUCAUUAUAAAUUUGAUAUACUGUUUAAUUUAUACCAUGUUAUCUUUAAUGUUUCUAUAUAUUUGGUGUAAUCUGUGCCAUAUUACUCUAAUUAGCUUAUUAAAAUGUAGUAGACUAUAGCUCUCUAUUAUAUUAGGAGAAUGCUACAUGUGUAACUAAAGAGAAUCUUAAUAUGUACAGGAGUAUUCAUUAGAUAUGUAGAUAAUUUUUAUAUAUUAAUGAUACCUGCAAAUUUGUCUAAAUAAUACAGUAACUGUGACAAUAAGUAGUUUUUUUCAAGGGUUUAGAAAGUUAAAUAAUCAGACAAUGCAACAAUUUUUCCAGAAUGAUAUUAGAAAACUCCUCUGAGGUCAGCUAACAUGACAUCAAAAUUCAGUGUGCAUAACAGUUUGUUACUGAAAUACUUUGUCAGAAAAGCCUUUUCAUUAAAAAAAAAAAAAAUUGACUGAUUGAUUUCUUUUUACAGACGGGGUAUCGCUAUAUUGCCCAGGCCGGAUUUGGACGCCUGGGCUCAAGAGAUCCUCAUGCCUCAACCUCUGAGUAACUGGGACUAGAGAAGCGAACCACUGAACCUGGAAAGCCUUUUUUUUUUUUUUUUU
Long non-coding RNA from Gorilla gorilla gorilla (western lowland gorilla), 4698 nucleotides. RefSeq lists it as uncharacterized. The transcript is spliced from 3 exons. The record is from RefSeq and is a predicted model, not a curated record. NCBI's taxonomy places the organism in Eukaryota, Metazoa, Chordata, Mammalia, Primates, Hominidae.